CAGGAGGCUUCAUAUAUGUAAUUUUAACGCCCAAAUAGUAGAACCAGAAGCAAUAUGCGAUAGAGGACUGAAAUAAAGGAGAAUGGAAAAACUGAUUCCCUAAACCAAGCAGCGGUGUAGAGAAAAUGCAGAAGGGACCCAACGGCUUCCAAAAUUGUUGACAGCACCCCGAACCAAAAGUGUCUCAGAGGAACUCAAGGUCAGUCAAUGAGAGGAUCCACCAAAUCCAACGGACGAGCGAAGAUGCAGAAACAGUCCAAAAUGGCUGUACGCAGAAAUAAACAGCUGUCCAUGAGUAGACGUACUAAAGAACCAGAUCCUGGAUCUACAUGGUCGUGUACAAUCUGUCAACAGAUCCGUGACCUAUCCGGAGAAUAGGGGUACGACACAGAGGAUGAAUAAAAAUGAAAUAUGAGUGGAGCAGAAGCCGAUGUACUGAACGGCAAGAAGGAAGAAGACACGUCGAUACCAUGACGUCAGAACGCGAUGAAAUACAAGAUGUACUGGGGGGAAACCGUAAGCGGAAAAAACUGGUGCACCUUGUCAUCAGGUCAUUCCUCAAUGAAAUGCAGAACGCACGAUACCACUAGACUUGAGGAAUAGCGAGAGAUAGGGCUCCCGUACGGUAUACUCCUCUUGGUAGACUGCAGACCAAGAGAUCCUUAGCAAUGCCAGAAUCUUGAGAAAACGCACAUGAGUCGUCCACUAGCUGACAUAGGACGUGAAUGGCCCCAUACGAUCCUACCCUGAGAGGGCAAC
This 759-nucleotide long non-coding RNA is filed under the name Pelobates cultripes (western spadefoot toad). The record is from RNAcentral. Lineage: Eukaryota; Metazoa; Chordata; Amphibia; Anura; Pelobatidae.